UACGGAGGAUCCAAGCGUUAUCCGGAUUUAUUGGGUUUAAAGGGUGCGCAGGCGGAAGAUUAAGUCGGCGGUGAAAUUUUGCAGCUCAACUGUAAAAGUGCCAUCGAUACUGGUUUUCUUGAGUGUGGAUGAAGUAGGCGGAAUUUGUGGUGUAGCGGUGAAAUGCAUAGAUAUCACACAGAACACCGAUUGCGAAGGCAGCACACUAAGUCAUUAUUGACGCUGAGGCACGAAAGUGUGGGGAUCAAACAGGAUUAGA
Molecule: ribosomal RNA, 259 nt
Filed under: uncultured prokaryote
Description: partial 16S ribosomal RNA
Rfam family: Bacterial small subunit ribosomal RNA
Source: RNAcentral